CUGUGACACCCUGACCUGACACCAGGAUGAGAUUUGCUGCGUCCAUCCAUCAGCGGUAAUGUGUGAUCACACCGCUCUGACCUUAAGGAAUGGAGUCUUCAUCAGUGCAUCCCAGGUUCCCAGCACCCAGACAAGGGGUGAAUUAGUAUGCGGGUGAAGCAAUAUAAUCUCUCUUGGCUUUCUGCUCACAAUCCUACCGCUUAGAGGACACUGUUUGACUUUGUGCCAUGUAGCGUCAAUACAACAUUGAUUGAUAACGGCGAGCCGGUAUCCUGGAACCAAGUGUUGUGCUACUAGGGCAAGAGUGCUGGAACACGAGAGCAGAGAAUGGCUCCGCUUCACCAUGGGGAUGAAUUACUUCUGACAUGAUUAGGUGGUACCAUUUAUUUACUGUCAAGUAAUUAUCAAAUUGAUCAGUCUUUUGAAUAUUCUUACAACAGCUUGUCUAACAUUUUAUUGUCUGAUUUGAGUGUCUUUUUUUACAGCUACAGACUUUUGAGGAGGUUGCUAAAGGACACCUUAUGGUUGUUUCUGCCUUGAGGUGGAGUGGAGGAAGCGGAGGGAAGAGCUAUGGUUCCACUGAGGAAGCCAAACAUAAGGAGGUCUGGUUAGCUACUAGGACGAGAGUGAUGGAACACAACAAGCGGGCAGAGAAUGGCUCGGAGAGCUUCACCGUGGGGAUGAAUCAUGCUUCUGACAGGGUAUGAUCACGACUACUGGGAAGGUUACAAGAUGAAGGGUAAGUUCGUCUUGUUUGUCAAGACAACCAGCGUUUUUCGUCUCAGCUCCUGCUUCUCCCCAGUCUCUCUCUUUCUCGCCCUCCUGGUUUUGACCCUUGCCUGUCUCUGAGCCCGCCCACCUGCCUGACCAUCCUGCCUGACCCUUGCCUGUCUCUGAGCCCGCCCACCUGCCUGACCCUAAGCCUGCCUGACCAUCCUGUAUCUUUCUCCCACUACUCUGGUUAUCAACCCCUGCCUGCCUUGACCUGAUGUUUGCCUGCUCUGUUGCCAUAAUAAACAUUGUUACUCC
Oncorhynchus tshawytscha (Chinook salmon) is the source of this 1029-nucleotide long non-coding RNA. The record is from Ensembl. NCBI's taxonomy places the organism in Eukaryota, Metazoa, Chordata, Actinopteri, Salmoniformes, Salmonidae.